CUGAGGUCAGUGUCAGUCAGAUGUUCCAGAUCUGUUGUCUGUUGUUCAGGUCAGUGUCAGUCAGAUGUUCCAGAUCUGUUGUCUGUACAUCAGUUCAGUCAGAUGUUCCAGAUCUCUUGUCUGUAAAUCAGUUCCUCUGUCUCAGUGUCCAGUUCCUCUGGAGGUGAUUCUGUCUGAUUUUCAGUGUGAUCAGAUAUUUGGAACAGAAAUGAGACAAAUACACUUGGACAGGUUUAGAUUUUUUCCAGUGUAAUGCUCAUUCUAGAUUCAA
Sphaeramia orbicularis (orbiculate cardinalfish) is the source of this 271-nucleotide long non-coding RNA. RefSeq lists it as uncharacterized. The record is from RefSeq and is a predicted model, not a curated record. The transcript has 4 exons. Lineage: Eukaryota; Metazoa; Chordata; Actinopteri; Kurtiformes; Apogonidae.